UACGAAGGGGGCUAGCGUUGUUCGGAAUCACUGGGCGUAAAGCGUACGUAGGCGGAUCGUUAAGUCAGGGGUGAAAGCCUGGAGCUCAACUCCAGAACUGCCUUUGAUACUGGCGAUCUUGAGUCCGGGAGAGGUGAGUGGAACUGCUAGUGUAGAGGUGAAAUUCGUAGAUAUUAGGAAGAACACCAGUGGCGAAGGCGGCCCACUGGCCCGGGACUGACGCUGAGGUACGAAAGCGUGGGGAGCAAACAGG
RNAcentral lists this ribosomal RNA (253 nucleotides) under uncultured bacterium. Its description in RNAcentral is "partial 16S ribosomal RNA". It matches the Rfam family "Bacterial small subunit ribosomal RNA", at positions 524 to 776 of the family's 1533-position model. The record is from RNAcentral.